AGAGUUUGAUUCUGGCUCAGAACGAACGCUGGCGGCGCGCCUAAUACAUGCAAGUCGAGCGAGAAGGUGUAGCAAUACACUUGUAAAGCGGCGAACGGGUGAGGAAUACAUGGGUAAUCUACCAUCGAGUGGGGAAUAACCAACCGAAAGGUUGGCUAAUACCGCGUACGCCUCCGAGUCUUCGGGUUCGGAGGGAAAGCCGUGCUGUGAGUACGGCGCUCUUUGAUGAGCUCAUGUCCUAUCAGCUUGUUGGUAGGGUAACGGCCUACCAAGGCUUUGACGGGUAGCUGGUCUGAGAGGACGAUCAGCCACACUGGCACUGCGACACGGGCCAGACUCCUACGGGAGGCAGCAGUAAGGAAUAUUGCGCAAUGGGCGAAAGCCUGACGCAGCGACGCCGCGUGGGGGAUGAAGGUCUUCGGAUUGUAAACCCCUUUCGGGAGGGAAGAUGGAGCGAGCAAUCGUUCGGACGGUACCUCCAGAAGCAGCCACGGCCAACUUCGUGCCAGCAGCCGCGGUAAUACGAAGGUGGCAAGCGUUGUUUGGAUUCACUGGGCGUACAGGGUGUGUAGGCGGUUUGGUAAGCCUUCUGUUAAAGCUUCGGGCCCAACCCGGAAAGCGCAGAGGGUACUGCCAGGCUAGAGGGUGGGAGAGGAGCGCGGAACUCCCGGUGUAGCGGUGAAAUGCGUAGAGAUCGGGAGGAAGGCCGGUGGCGAAGGCGGCGCUCUGGAACAUACCUGACGCUGAGACACGAAAGCGUGGGGAGCAAACAGGAUUAGAUACCCUGGUAGUCCACGCCCUAAACUAUGGAUACUAAGUGUCGGCGGGUUACCGCCGGUGCCGCAGCUAACGCAUUAAGUAUCCCGCCUGGGAAGUACGGCCGCAAGGUUGAAACUCAAAUGAAUUGACGG
RNAcentral lists this ribosomal RNA (911 nucleotides) under uncultured bacterium. Its description in RNAcentral is "bacterial SSU rRNA". It matches the Rfam family "Bacterial small subunit ribosomal RNA", at positions 8 to 916 of the family's 1533-position model. The record is from RNAcentral.